AGUGAACGCUGGCGGUAGGCCUAACACAUGCAAGUCGAACGGCAGCACAGUAAGAGCUUGCUCUUACGGGUGGCGAGUGGCGGACGGGUGAGGAAUACAUCGGAAUCUACUUUUUCGUGGGGGAUAACGUAGGGAAACUUACGCUAAUACCGCAUACGACCUACGGGUGAAAGCAGGGGAUCUUCGGACCUUGCGCGAUUGAAUGAGCCGAUGCCGGAGUAGCUAGUUGGCGGGGUAAAGGCCCACCAAGGCGACGAUGCGUAGCUGAUCUGAGAGGAUGAGCGGCGACAAGGGAACUGAGACACGGUCAAGAGUAAUACGGGAGGCAGCAGGAGGGAAGAGUGAGCAAGGGGCGAAAGCGUGACGGAGAAAGGAGGCGUGAGGGAGGAAGGCCGUCGGAUCGGAAAACUCUGGUAGGAGGGAAGAACAAAUGUGGAAGUAACUAUGCACGUCUUGACGGUACCUAAUAAGAAAGCCACGGCUAACUACGUG
Molecule: ribosomal RNA, 492 nt
Filed under: uncultured bacterium
Lineage: Bacteria
Description: partial 16S ribosomal RNA
Rfam family: Bacterial small subunit ribosomal RNA
Source: RNAcentral